Long non-coding RNA from Oncorhynchus tshawytscha (Chinook salmon), 3710 nucleotides. The record is from Ensembl. NCBI's taxonomy places the organism in Eukaryota, Metazoa, Chordata, Actinopteri, Salmoniformes, Salmonidae.
GAUACACUCACCUCCACGCUAAACCCAGACCUUCACUAGAUACACUCACCUCCACGCUAAACCCAGACCUUCACUAGAUACACUCACCUCCACGCUAUUCCUUUGUUUGCUAAGCACUAUCAGUUACGAUAUAUUUAUUGUCCUAAUAUACUGUUUCAUGUCAUAGACGUGGAAAGGAAAGCCAACAAGGCACUUAAUAAAACAACUUGCGAAGGGAAUUUCAGAUGUCAGAUAUGUCAAUAUGAUGAUGGUUCCAGUGUUCAACCUGAUUUCUCUGGUCGUUCUCUGAACGGUUAAAGAAACACAAUAAGGAAUGGUGUCCAUCUUUGAACUAAUAUUUUCACACCCAAACAAACAUCUCAACGUUAUUUCACAAUGUGCCAUUACUUCCGUUUCAAGACUUUCUUAAGACAGAUAUUGUGAUUAUAGACCGUAUGAAUUAGCUACUUUAAAGACUGUAAAACAAAUAACCAAAUGUGUAAUAUAUUGUUCUAAAUUAGUACAAACAGUAUAUUACCACAGCUGACAGUCACAGUAAAUGAUCCUUAAAGGGAUAUAAUGUGGUAUUAUUGUCAUGCAUUAUUUAAUAAGGAUUUAUUUGGUAUUUCCAUAUCAAUAUUCCAUAAUCUAACAUUGACUGUAUUGCCAGUCAAUUGAAACUCUCUAUCCCAAAUGGCACCCUAUUCCCUAUAUAGUGCACUACUUUAGACCAGGGCCCUAUUCCCUAUGUGGUGGCCAACUUUAGACCAGGGCCCAUAUCUAACUCUCUAAAGGAGGAUCCUUAUUGAAACACUAAUCAUGGGCUCCUGAAGAUGCUGUAAAUCCCAUGUGUUCUAUGAUGAUAGGCCUCAUCCAGCUCUCUCACUGUGGCUACAUGGGGAUACUUUCACUCCUCUGUAGGCUUUAAGGCAGCAACAUAGCCUUCAUCACUGAAAUAUGCAUCAUUUCUAUGGCUUGUUAUUCACAGUACAGUAUGUAGAAUGUAGCUUGUACAUAGCCUUUUACAGGAAUACUUUUUGUAUCCUUUUUUUUCUCCCUUAAUAUUUCAUUAUUAUACAUUUCUACUAGUUUUUUAUUAUAAACAAAAUAUAUGUGAAUAUAUAGACAUUAGUCUUUUUGAUUUGAUUAGACCAAUGUUUGUUUUAUGUUUGUUUUUAACAUUGUUUAUUUGUUAUUAGACUAAGGUGUUGCCUGGAAAACAACUGAAGAACAAAAUAACAUGAAUUGUUGUAUGGCCUUAAAUUACUACAUACACACAGCUACAUUACAUUACUACAUACACACAGCUACAUUACAUUACUACAUACACACAGCUACAUUACAUUACUACAUACACACAGCUACAUUACAUUACUACAUACACACAGCUACAUUACAUUACUACAUACACACAGCUACAUUAUAUUACUACAUACACACAGCUACAUUACAUUACUACAUACACACAGCUACAUUAUAUUACUACAUACACACAGCUACAUUACAUUACUACAUACACACAGCUACAUUACAUUACUACAUACACACAGCUACAUUACACACAGCUACAUUACACACAGCUACAUUAUAUUACUACAUACACAGCUACAUUACAUUACUACAUACACACAGCUACAUUACUACAUACACACAGCUACAUUACUACAUACACACAGCUACAUUACUACAUACACACAGCUACAUUAUAUUACUACAUACACACAGCUACAUUAUAUUACUACAUACACACAGCUACAUUAUAUUACUACAUACACACAGCUACAUUACUACAUACACACAGCUACAUUACUACAUACACACAGCUACAUUACUACAUACACACUGCUACAUUACUACAUACACACAGCUACAUUACAUUACUACAUACACACAGCUACAUUAUAUUACUACAUACACACAGCUACAUUACUACAUACACACAGCUACAUUACUACAUACACACAGCUACAUUACUACAUACACACCGCUACAUUACUACAUACACACAGCUACAUUACAUUACUACAUACACACAGCUACAUUAUAUUACUACAUACACACCGCUACAUUACUACAUACACACAGCUACAUUACAUUACUACAUACACACAGCUACAUUAUAUUACUACAUACACACAGCUACAUUACUACAUACACACAGCUACAUUAUAUUACUACAUACACACAGCUACAUUACUACAUACACACAGCUACAUUACAUUACUACAUACACACAGCUACAUUGCAUUACCACAUAAACACAGCUAUAUUACAUUACUACAUACACACAGCUAAAUUACAUUACCACAUAAACACAGCUAAAUUACAUUACUUCAUACACACAGCUACAUUACCACAUACACACAGCUAUAUUACAUUACUACAUACACACAGCUACAUUACAUUACCACAUACACACAGUUACAUUACAUUACUACAUACACACAGCUACAUUACAUUACUACAUACACACAGCUACAUUACAUUACUACAUACACACAGCUACAUUACUACAUACACACAGCUACAUUACUACAUACACACAGCUACAUUACAUUACUACAUACACACAGCUACAUUACAUUACUACAUACACACAGCUACAUUACUACAUACACACAGCUACAUUACAUUACUACAUACACACAGCUACAUUACAUUACUACAUACACACAGCUACAUUACUACAUACACACAGCUACAUUACAUUACUACAUACACACAGCUACAUUACAUUACUACAUACACACAGAUACAGUACCUAUCAAAAAUUUGGACACCUACUCAUUCUGGGGUUUUUCUUUAUUUUUACUAUUUUCUACAUUUUAGAUUAAUAGUGAAGAUGUCAAAACUAUGAAAUAACACAUACGGAAACAUAAAGGUGUUAAACAAAUCAAUAUACAUUUUUUUAUUUGAGAUUCUUCAAAGCAGCAUUUGCCUUGAUGACUACUUUUCACACUCUUGGCAUUCUCUCAACCAGCUUCAAGAGGUAGCUACCUGGAAUGCGUUUCAGUUAACAGGUGUGCCUUGUUUAAAGUUAAUUUGUGGAAUUUCUUACCUUUUUAGUUAUUACAUGAUUCCAUAUGUGUUAUUUCCUGAUUUUGAUGUCUUCACUAUUAUUCUACAAUGUAAAAAUAAAGGAAAACCAUUGAAUGAGUAAGUGUGUCCAAACUUUUGACUGGUACUGUACAUUACAUUACAUUACUACAUACACACAGCUACAUUACUACAUACACACCGCUACAUUACUACAUACACACAGCUACAUUACUACAUACACACAGCUACAUUACUACAUACACACCGCUACAUUACUACAUACACACCGCUACAUUACUACAUACACACAGCUACAUUACUACAUACACACAGCUACAUUACUACAUACACACAGCUACAUUACUACAUACACACAGCUACAUUACUACAUACACACAGCUACAUUACAUUACUACAUACACACAGCUACAUUACUACAUACACACAGCUACAUUACAUUACUACAUACACACAGCUACAUUACUACAUACACACAGCUACAUUACUACAUACAAACAGCUACAUUACUACAUACACACAGCUACAUUACUACAUACACACAGCUACAUUACUACAUACACACAGCUACAUUACUACAUACACACAGCUACAUUACUACAUACACACAGAUAACUUAUUAUGAUUGUGUUCAAGACAAGAGAGAACGCUUUGAGAAGAAAAAACCCCACAAA